UACGGGAGUGGCAAGCGUUAUCCGGAAUUAUUGGGCGUAAAGCGUCCGCAGGCGGCCUCGUAAGUCUGUCGUUAAAGCGUGGAGCUUAACUCCAUUAAGGCGAUGGAAACUGUGAGGCUUGAGUGUGGUAGGGGCAGAGGGAAUUCCCGGUGUAGCGGUGAAAUGCGUAGAUAUCGGGAAGAACACCAGUGGCGAAGGCGCUCUGCUGGGCCAUAACUGACGCUCAUGGACGAAAGCCAGGGGAGCGAAAGGGAUUAGAUACCCCUGUAGUCCUGGCCGUAAACGAUGAACACUAGGUGUCGGGGGAAUCGACCCCCUCGGUGUCGUAGCCAACGCGUUAAGUGUUCCGCCUGGGGAGUACGCACGCAAGUGUGAA
This 376-nucleotide ribosomal RNA is filed under the name uncultured bacterium. RNAcentral describes it as "bacterial SSU rRNA". It matches the Rfam family "Bacterial small subunit ribosomal RNA", at positions 524 to 898 of the family's 1533-position model. The record is from RNAcentral.